Molecule: ribosomal RNA, 409 nt
Filed under: Fusobacteriota bacterium
Lineage: Bacteria; Fusobacteriati; Fusobacteriota
Description: Fusobacteria bacterium partial 16S ribosomal RNA
Rfam family: Bacterial small subunit ribosomal RNA
Source: RNAcentral
UGGGGAAUAUUGCACAAUGGAGGGAACUCUGAUGCAGCAACGCCGCGUGCGGGAUGACGGCCUUCGGGUUGUAAACCGCUUUCAGCCAUGACGAAGCUUUUGUGACGGUAGUGGUAGAAGAAGCACCGGCUAACUACGUGCCAGCAGCCGCGGUGAUACGUAGGGUGCGAGCGUUGUCCGGAAUUAUUGGGCGUAAAGAGCUUGUAGGCGGUUUGUCGCGUCGAUAGUGUAAACACGCAGCUUAACUGUGUGCCUGCUGUCGAUACGGGCUGACUAGAGGAGGGUAGGGGAGAAUGGAAUUCCCGGUGGAGCGGUGGAAUGCGCAGAUAUCGGGAGGAACACCAGUGGCGAAGGCGGUUCUCUGGACCUUUCCUGACGCUGAGGAACGAAAGCGUGGGUAGCAAACAGG